RNAcentral lists this ribosomal RNA (298 nucleotides) under uncultured bacterium. RNAcentral's name for it is "partial 16S ribosomal RNA". It matches the Rfam family "Bacterial small subunit ribosomal RNA", at positions 336 to 651 of the family's 1533-position model. The record is from RNAcentral.
UUCCUACGGGAGGCAGCAGUGGGGGAUAUUGCACAAUGGGGGGAACCCUGAUGCAGCGACGCCGCGUGGGCGAUGGAGUGCUUCGGCAUGUAAAGCCCUAUCAGCAGGGAAGAAAAUGACGGUACCUGACUAAGAAGCCCCGGCUAAAUACGUGCCAGCAGCCGCGGUAAUACGUAUGGGGCAAGCGUUAUCCGGAUUUACUGGGUGUAAAGGGAGUGCAGGCGGCUUGGCAAGUCUGAUGUGAAAGGCUGGGGCUCAACCCCAGGACUGCAUUGGAAACUGUUAGGCUGGGGUGUCG